This 582-nucleotide long non-coding RNA is filed under the name Homo sapiens (human). RNAcentral's name for it is "non-protein coding lnc-PGS1-6:1". The record is from RNAcentral. Lineage: Eukaryota; Metazoa; Chordata; Mammalia; Primates; Hominidae.
AUGGCGGCUACCGAGGACGCUCACGAGAACCACAGUACCUCCACUGAGAAUGCAGACAAGUCCAACCAGGACCCUCAGUAUGAGCCAAUAGUUUCUACUCCUGAGCAAGAAAUUAAAAUGCUAGAGGAAGAGGAAGAGGGACUUUUUAAUAUGUGAGUGCAACUAUUCUGAUUUGUUUCAGGGAACAAUCUUCUGGAAUGGAAGGGUGGAGGCACUGGCAACAUCAAGCUCCUGAAGCACAAGGAGAAAGGGGCCUCACGAGGAGGGACAAGACCCUGAAGAUCUGCCAGCCCCUAAGUCACACCCAUGUUGGAGCUGAAGCCCAACGCAGGCAGCCACUGGGCCUGGGUCUGCAACACCCACGCCGACUUCACCCAUGAGUGCCCAGGCCAGAGCUGCUGGCCGGCUGCUUCCUGAAUGCUGAGCAUGCACGGAAAUUCCAAAGUUCAGAGAAUGCAAAAAAGACAUCAAAGAGAGACAAAAGAAAGGACCAGGCAAAAACAAUAAUGCCGAAAAAGUGGUGGAAAAGCUAGAAGCUCUUUUGGUAAAGAGGAGACCAAGGAAGACACUGAGGAAAAGCAU